This is a long non-coding RNA of Bubalus bubalis (water buffalo), 598 nucleotides long. RefSeq lists it as uncharacterized. The transcript is spliced from 3 exons. NCBI's taxonomy places the organism in Eukaryota, Metazoa, Chordata, Mammalia, Artiodactyla, Bovidae. The record is from RefSeq and is a predicted model, not a curated record.
AUGCCAAAAUUCUUAGUGUAACUGAGUUUUUAUAUAGCCUAUGAAGCUUUUGUUGGCUGGAAACUGGCAGCAUUAAAUUGGAGAGUCAGUUACAGGCUACAGCUGCAAUCUUGGUCAAAGUUACAAGCAGGGAAGAGGUAACAGAGGGAAGGCAAAGUAAUGCAAUUAUCGGCCCCUCCUAUCUGGGCUGUGAAGCAGGAGUAUGAAAUAGGAGGGGAAGGAGGAAAGGCAAGGGUCUACACCAGGUAUUGUGCAGGAGAUAAAAGGGAAGAUUUCCAAGCUCACCAGUGGUGUUAAGAAGUGAGAGGAACCACUUCAUACUCAUUAGAAUGACUACUUCAAAAGAUGAAAAAACAGAAAACAACAAGUGUUGCUAAAAUAUUACAGUUGGGGGACAGAAGAGGAUAAAGCACUUUGAAAAACUCUCCCCAAGUGAGAAGUCCUUGUCAUCCUCUCCCCAUUCUAAAGAACCACCAGUUUUAUUCACCUGGAAUUUAUUUUGAUAUAUGGGCUAAGUGUCUGAUUUUAUUUUUUUGGCUCCCUAGAAAAGUUAAUUGACUGUCCUAUAAAAUUUACGGAAUAAUUCCUUCCUUUCCCC